GACGAACGCUGGCGGCGUGCUUAACACAUGCAAGUCGAACGGAAAGGCCCUGCUUUUGUGGGGUGCUCGAUUGGCGAACGGGUGAGUAACACGUGAGUAACCUGCCCUUGACUUUGGGAUAACUUCAGGAAACUGGGGCUAAUACCGGAUAGGAGCUCUUGCUGCAUGGUGGGGGUUGGAAAGUUUCGGCGGUUGGGGAUGGACUCGCGGCUUAUGAGCUUGUUGGUGAGGUAGUGGCUUACCAAGGCUUUGACGGGUAGCCGGCCUGGGAGGGUGACCGGCCACAUUGGGACUGAGAUACGGCCCAGACUCCUACGGGAGGCAGCAGUGGGGAAUAUUGCACAAUGGGCGGAAGCCUGAUGCAGCAACGCCGCGUGCGGGAUGACGGCCUUCGGGUUGUAAACCGCUUUCGCCUGUGACGAAGCGUGAGUGACGGUAAUGGGUAAAGAAGCACCGGCUAACUACGUG
This 468-nucleotide ribosomal RNA is filed under the name uncultured bacterium. RNAcentral describes it as "partial 16S ribosomal RNA". It matches the Rfam family "Bacterial small subunit ribosomal RNA", at positions 28 to 507 of the family's 1533-position model. The record is from RNAcentral.